This 254-nucleotide ribosomal RNA is filed under the name uncultured bacterium. Its description in RNAcentral is "partial 16S ribosomal RNA". It matches the Rfam family "Bacterial small subunit ribosomal RNA", at positions 524 to 776 of the family's 1533-position model. The record is from RNAcentral.
CACGUAGGGUGCGAGCGUUGUCCGGAAUUAUUGGGCGUAAAGAGCUCGUAGGCGGUGUGUCGCGUCGGCCGUGAAAACCUGCAGCUUAACUGUGGGCUUGCGGUCGAUACGGGCAUCACUGGAGUUCGGCAGGGGAGACUGGAAUUCCUGGUGUAGCGGUGAAAUGCGCAGAUAUCAGGAGGAACACCGGUGGCGAAGGCGGGUCACUGGGCCGCAACUGACGCUGAGGAGCGAAAGCAUGGGGAGCGAACAGG